RNAcentral lists this ribosomal RNA (499 nucleotides) under uncultured Alphaproteobacteria bacterium. RNAcentral's name for it is "bacterial SSU rRNA". It matches the Rfam family "Bacterial small subunit ribosomal RNA", at positions 60 to 609 of the family's 1533-position model. The record is from RNAcentral. Lineage: Bacteria; Pseudomonadati; Pseudomonadota; Alphaproteobacteria.
AGUCGAGCGCACCUUCGGGUGAGCGGCGGACGGGUUAGUAACGCGUGGGAACGUGCCCAGAUCUGCGGAAUAGCCACUGGAAACGGUGAGUAAUACCGCAUACGCCCUUCGGGGGAAAGAUUUAUCGGAUUUGGAUCGGCCCGCGUUAGAUUAGGUAGUUGGUGGGGUAAUGGCCUACCAAGCCUACGAUCUAUAGCUGGUUUUAGAGGAUGAUCAGCAACACUGGGACUGAGACACGGCCCAGACUCCUACGGGAGGCAGCAGUGGGGAAUCUUAGACAAUGGGGGCAACCCUGAUCUAGCCAUGCCGCGUGAGUGAUGAAGGCCCUAGGUCGUAAAGCUCUUUCGCCUGUGAUGAUAAUGACAGUAGCAGGUUAAGAAACCCCGGCUAACUCCGUGCCAGCAGCCGCGGUAAUACGGAGGGGUUAGCCGUUGUUCGGAAUUACUGGGCCUAAAGCGCACGUAGGCGGAUUGAAAAGUGGGGGUGAAAUCCCGGGGCU